AACGUAGGAGACGAACGUUAUCCGGAGUUACUGGGCGUAAAGCGUGCGUAGGCGGUUCGUUAAGUCUGUCGUGAAAGCCCUGGGCUCAACCUGGGAAUUGCGAUGGAUACUGGCGAGCUAGAGUACGGUAGAGGAUGGUGGAAUUCCCGGUGUAGCGGUGAAAUGCGUAGAGAUCGGGAGGAACACCCGUGGCGAAGGCGGCCAUCUGGACCAGUACUGACGCUGAGGCACGAAAGCGUGGGGAGCAAACAGG
Molecule: ribosomal RNA, 253 nt
Filed under: uncultured bacterium
Lineage: Bacteria
Description: partial 16S ribosomal RNA
Rfam family: Bacterial small subunit ribosomal RNA
Source: RNAcentral